AGGAUAACGUUUGGCGAGGGGGGGAAAUGAAAAAAAACCAUUCAUGCUCCUCGGGUAACCCCUCAAUAUCAACUCUUAGAUUUCCUUUCAAACCCCGCCAGAUUAUUUAAGGAGGUGUAUCUUUCUGCAAAGUGUUUUUGAUUCCGCUUUAGAUUCCACCAGGCACUUAGGAAACGUGGUGGGGAAACGAACAAGAUUAAUGAAAGCGUUUCUUAGUUGAACAUAAAAGGUAAAUAAAUUUUUAAGGUGGGAAGAGAAAAACACCGGAGUUUAUAUGAAAAUUGGACUCUGUGUGUGUGUGUGUACAUGCGCGCGCUUUUCUAUUUCUCCCUCUCCCCCCACCACACUCCCCCCCCCCCCCGUCCAUCAAGGACAGUUGAUCAUAUGAAGGAGACUUAGAAAAGGUUUUGAGCUGUUGUUAGGUAGAAUCCCGCGAAUACAAAGCCCGGGCAUUUGGUGGUUGGUUGGGUUGGGGUGUGUUUUAAAAGACUAUAAAAUGGCACACUGCAUUUCUGCAUUUUUCCAGGCUGCAGAAGAGGGGGGGCGGGGGAUAGUGCAGACUGUGUAGGGACACUGCCCUUCUAACCAAUCAGAGCACGCCUGUUUGCCAUUACAAAGUUGUUAACCCCAGAGUCUUCUGGCUCCUGCUGCCUUUGCUUUUAAUCUUUGGAUAUUUCUCAGGUUUACUCGAAUCCCCCCCACCUCGCCAGAUAUGGAGAAAAAACCUUCGGAAGCGACUGCCGACCAUGGGAAGGAGAUUCUAUUUUCAUUUGCAAAGGUUUUUAAAGAUGUUGGAUGAUUAUUUCGCUGCCUGGAACUGGUUGAUUGUAAGGGAGAAACUAUACACAGACUCUUUCUUUCCAGUCGGGAAAAGGCAGCUGGCUGCUUCCUUUCGAGGAUCUCAGGGAUCUCCAGAUGUCCCCAGACUUCAAGAACUGCUGGCCUUUGACAUGUACUGUUCCCAGGCAGUGGUCUUAUCCAGUCUUGACUAAAAAUGUCAGUUCCAAAACAGACCCAUCUAAUCAAGCAUAUAGUCAAUAACAGCCAACAAAGGUAAUAGAUAUGAAAUUAAUACUUGUCAUGUAUUCAGUUCAUCACAGCGUUUCGCAUUCAGCGGUAUUGGCUGUCCUUACAAAUAGCAUUUUUGAAUAGGGACAAACCUUAUUAGCUUUUGUAAGGAAGGGCAUCCAUCAGGGAAUAUGAGCAAACUGAAUGACAAAGGCCUAAUUAUACAAUUAACAUACUUGUGUGAUUUGCAUGAUGACAUCACAACAGGUCAUUUUGACAUCAUUGCAGUUUAUUGAAACUUAUGCUUUCAGUUCAGACACAUUAAUUUUAUUCUUAGUUAUUUUAAUUAAUUGUGCAUUUCAGUGGGAUUAAGCAGGAGGACAUACCCACCAAUGUUUCUGGACAACUCUUCAAAAUUGUCAUUUAGGGUUAAUAGGUUAUUAUCAUAAUUUAAUAAUUUGCCUAAAUUAUAAAUAUUGAGUUCUAAGUAAAUAUACAUGACUAUGGAAUUUGAUUAAAGAAUGUGAAACUAUACUACUUUAUUAAUAUAAUAAUUUAUGUUUGUGGCUAACUUAUACUUAUGUUUUAUAUUUCCUUUUUCAUAACUAAUAUUUUAGGGUCAUUUUUCUUUAGUUAAAAUGCAUGUGCUACUGCAGCUGUAACACAAAUUUAUAAUACAGGAAGGAAGGAGUCAAUGUAGCAAAAGUUUGUAAAAGGGUUAUAAGAUUAUGCCUUUAGGCAGGCAAUAUUCCCAAUAUUUUAUAAAAAGUUUAUACCUCAGUCCACUAUCAGCCAUGAGAAUAUUUGAUAGACUGGACUGAUUUAUAUAUUAUCUAAUUUGGCUUGUUAGGAUUUGGUUGAGUAUUUUGUCCUAAUCCUAGCUGUUUUAGUUUAGUUAAUAAACUAAAAAAAUAAUAAAGGAUAGCUUAGAAAAUUUGAGCACAGUGUUAAGUCUUUUAAUUAACCUGCAAAUAUUAUCAUUUUUUUUCAAAAGCAGUAUUCAUUUUUAUCUGAAGCAAAAAAAAUCAUGAAUACAUAGUAACUACAUUAAAUAUAUUUAUCAGGACAAGUUCACAAGACAGGCAAGUUGCAAAUAUGCAGAAUAAAAACUUAUGACUUGCAGUCUAUGGAAAUUCUCAGUCAUCCAGCUCAUGGUUUUCCCAAAGGUGCUUUUCCAGGAGGCAACUGGACUUUCUUGUUUUUUCUUUGAAGAUAUUUCACUUCUCAUCCAGAAAGUUUCUUCAGCUCAGACUAGAUGGGGGACAGUGAAAGGACACAGGACAGAACAUAACCUGCAGCCAAGAAGGCUCCAAACCAGGGUUCUUCAAACUUUUUAAAUGGACUAAUUCAAGGUCCCUCAGACUGUUGGGGGGGGGGAGUGGACCGACUGGGUGGUGAGACCAAUUUAAGGGGAGGGAUGUGGUUGAGGGGGGGAAUUGCGAACAACUGGGUGUGAUUGCUUUUUGCCUGCUGGAAAUGGGCAUGCUUUUACCACCUCUACUUGCAAGGGGAACAUGCUCCACGGGGAGGCCAAGGACAAGACCUGCGAAGGGAUCAAGGAGAUGAAAACCUGCUCCCCAACUGCAAACCAAGAGACGGGAUGGAGUAGGUAGCAGCUAUCACACACCCUACUCACCUUGUCUUAACCCACAAUAGUAGUCAAAGGUAGAGGCAAGGGAGAGACAAGCGGUCCGACCUGCUGGAUGUGUCAGGCAGCCACCUCCCCUGCCUCAGCCACAUGGAAUGGAGCAAAAGUGUCCAGUGGUCCACAUCACAUGCCUCCCCCAACACUCAGUGCCAGUGCUGCUGCUGCCAUGCCUAUUUCUUGAAGGGCCAUCUGCGGAGUCCCUGCUGCUGGAUACCUGUAUCUUGACGGAUGCUGUUCCUUUUGUAUCUGAAGGAAAUGGCAGACACCGGCAUCUUGCCCUCCACCCAGACUCUGCAGCUGCUGCGGACCGUGAGGCUGCACUGUCCACAUCACUCCUGUGCCAGCUGCCCACCGACUCACACCCUUCGGAUGUGCACAACAGGCUCAAGCAAGGGCUCUGUGCAUCUGGCAGCAGGAUCAGACCAGGCAUGCCUCACUAGGAGCGGAUCUGGCAAGGAAUCCCUAAGGUGGGGGCUCAUCUGCCGGCCAGCUGACUUCUUCCUGCCUCCCUCACCAGUGGAGACAGCUGUCCUCCUUCAGGGGCAGGUAGCCUCUCCAGCCACUGCCUCAGAACUGCAGAGUGGCAGAAGGACAAGCAGCCAAGCAAAGAGGGGGAGGGGAAGAAGGCAGCAGGGGUGGCUGUUGCAGCGGCCGCUUCUUAGUUUGCUGCCAUUUUUCCAGGCCUGCUUCACCAACAGGCUCCCACUGGCUUGCAGGAGCCUCUUUUGGGCCGGGCGCUCCAGGGCCACUGCGGCUGCUUGGAGCACGCUGGUUGAUCUCUGUCCAGACUCCAGGAACAGAUGAACAGAGGAAGCCCAAGCUAAAAAACAGAAGUGGAGGAUGCCGGUUUCCCCUCUCAAGGCCUCUGUGCAUCCCAUUUUUGGCCUUCCCAUCCCCCAGAAGCACUCUGCCAGCCAAAACUGUUGGCCUUACCUUUCAGUUCCAGCCCACAGGCUCGCAAAAGUAAGGUCUGCGCUCGGCCAGAGCCGGCAGGGUAGCCUCUUGGUCCGGUGCAGGACGGAUUAAUGGCUUUAGCGAGCCAAUGUUUGAGGACCCCUGCUCCAAACCCAUUAGCACUAUUCAGGUGUUCCUGAGAAUACAGAUAAACCACCAGAUGGCCGUAACUUUCUAAAAGAAUACAGAUGACAAGCUGUAAGGAAUAUAAACCCUUCCAUUACCCAUCAUCCAAUUAAAGCUGAAGAAGCUUCUUGGAUGAGAAGCAAAAUGUCUUCAAAGAAAAAAUAAAUCUAGUUGCCUCCUGAAAAAGCACUUUUAGGACAAUUAUGGUUUAUGGGAAAAUAUGGAUUCUAUAGACAUAUAUGGGUAUAACAAAUGAGACUUUCACAAUCAAUAUUUUGCUACCAUCUUGUACUUAAGUCUUUCUGAAUUCUGAUUUUUACAAUCAGCCAUAUUUAUUUUGAUUGUUCUAUUUUUCUUAACUAAUCUGGAUACUCUUAAAAAGGAAGAAUAUAAUACAAAAUACAUGCAACUUACAUAUUACAGAAUAAUGUGAACUCUUUAUAUCCAUUGUGUAAUAUUUAUGAAGUAUUUCUUCAAAUAAGCCUCCGAGGAAUUUGAAAUGUAUAAUCCAGCUAUAAAUUUCUUGUCUUCAUCUGUUCUAGAGUAAGACUCAAUCUCAGAAAUAUGGAGUGGCUCUGGAUUUGAAGCCCUGGUGAUUCCAUUAACUUAGCAUUUUUCCUCCAAACUAGGUAACCCAUGAACCAUUGGUUCAGAUAUAUUUUCUUAAAUCAACAAGCAGUAUGAACAUGGAUGGGCAAAAAAGCAGUGAGAAUGAAUUCCUAUUUCCUGCAGGCUUCUCCAUUGACUUUACUUGUGGAAAGCUUGUUAGGCGCAUUGGAAGUCAUGAUCACCUGGCUGCAGCAGUACUCAGGGUCAGUGGUAGCACUGCAGCAGCUAUAACUUUGCUAAUACAUCUGGUGUUAAGAUCCUUUUCUUAAAAUUUCAGCCCCAUGGGGAUAAUGGGCCCUGGAUUUUUAGAUGCAUUUUUAAGUUAGCCCACUAGAGAUAACUUGAUUCAAACAUUAUUGCUCUAUAGUGCAUUGUUUUGCCCAGUUGAGGUUACAAAAGGCAGAGUUCUAGCUGUAUAUAAAUAAAUUAUAGUUGCUCUAAUAUCUGGUUCACCUGGUUUGACAACUCAUGCUCAAGAUGGAAGCUGUUACAACCAUUUUCAGGAAUGCCCACUCAGAGCCCAUAACCACUGUCUUAUUACAUCCAAGAUAUCUCUCAGUUGGACUACUGAAGUGCACUCCAGGUGGGACAGCUUUUGAAAAGCAUUUGGAAGUUACAACUGCUCCAGAAUACAACUCUGGACCAGUUGUAAUGAAUUAAUGCAUACAUCUUGAGGCACCUAUGUAAUACCUGUCAUUCAAGAGCUGCACUGGUUUCUAGCUGGCUGUCUCCUUUAAAUUCCUUCAUGAUUUUAGGACCUGGAUAACUGGAGGAUUGCAUUCGCUUGAUAUCUGCUGUCCAGUAACAUAAGAAGGAAGCUCUUUCUGUAAUCUCUUAAUUAGAAAUUGCCUCCUUUAGAGGCAGAAUAAAUACACCUUUUCAGUAACUUCCAUCCCCACCUCUGGAAUAGUAUCCCCUCAGAUAAAAUAUCAUCUAGUUUUCAGAAUUAGUGGCUGGCUAUGGUAACCAGGCCUAAGGGCAGGCUUGUUAAGGCUAUCCUUGCAAACAAAUAUUUUCACUGUACUUCAAAUAUAUAUCCUGUUUUAAUUAUAAUUUUAUGUUUUUCAUGUUAAAUUGUUAUUGUUUUUAUCCCAAACUAUGGUUUUGUGAAGACUAUUGAUCUAUUAAUUGAAAGGGAUUAUAAAUAAAAAUAAGAACUAGAACUGAAAAUGCUAUGGUGUGUGGUCUUUAAUGCUGAAAAUAGGCUGCAGCACAAGUUGCAUCUAAGAAGGUUGCCUGAGGUUUAUAUGUAUUUGUCCCCUCAAAAAAGCUCUGCUUCUUUUGGUAAGUGCUAAUAGGAUAAACUAAAAGAAGGAUGAUAAGGAGUCAAGAAAUUCCUUGAAGUGCCCCAGCACUCAUAUAAUACUGAUGUUGUAAUCAUUUCUUUCAUAAUGUGUCUUAUUUGAAUAAGCUGACAACCAACUCUUUUCUGCUGGAAACUGUUAACUUUAAAAUAUCGGAUAUCCUGUUUUAAAUAGUGUGUAUAACAGAUUUGCACUCCUGUCAGUUAAUUCUAUAGAAUUUUUGAUGUCACAGAGACCUGUCUUACAGAGGAGAGAACAGU
Molecule: non-coding RNA, 5909 nt
Organism: Thamnophis sirtalis
Lineage: Eukaryota; Metazoa; Chordata; Lepidosauria; Squamata; Natricidae
Source: RefSeq, a predicted model, not a curated record